GAGUUUGAUCAUGGCUCAGGAUGAACGCUGGCGGCGUGCCUAAUGCAGCAAGUCGAGCGACGCAUGCCCAGUUCGUAAGAACAGGGUAUGACGGAGCGGCGAACGGGUGAGUAACACGUGAGCAACCUGCCCCACAGACCGGGAUAGCCCGGGGAAACCCGGAUUAAUACCGGAUACCUUCCUCCUACCGCAUGAUGGGUGGAAGAAAUGCCUUUGUGCUUUGAGAUGGGGUCGCGGCCUAUCAGGUAGUUGGUGGGGUAACGGCCUACCAAGCCAUCGACGGGUAGCUGGUCUGAGAGGACGAUCAGCCACACUGGAACUGAGACACGGUCCAGACUCCUACGGGAGGCAGCAGCAGGGAAUAUUGCACAAUGGGCGAAAGCCUGAUGCAGCAACGCCACGUGGGGGAUGAAGGCCUUCGGGUUGUAAACCCCUUUCAGGAGGGAAGAAAUUGACGGUACCUCCAAAAGAAGCCCCGGCCAAUUACGUGCCAGCAGCCGCGGUAAUAC
RNAcentral lists this ribosomal RNA (509 nucleotides) under uncultured bacterium. RNAcentral describes it as "bacterial SSU rRNA". It matches the Rfam family "Bacterial small subunit ribosomal RNA", at positions 9 to 526 of the family's 1533-position model. The record is from RNAcentral.